RNAcentral lists this ribosomal RNA (253 nucleotides) under uncultured bacterium. RNAcentral describes it as "partial 16S ribosomal RNA". It matches the Rfam family "Bacterial small subunit ribosomal RNA", at positions 524 to 776 of the family's 1533-position model. The record is from RNAcentral.
UACGGAGGGUGCGAGCGUUGUCCGGAAUCACUGGGCGUAAAGGGCGCGUAGGCGGCGCGAGUAGUCAACGGUGAAAGCCCGGGGCUCAACCCCGGGUCGGCCGUCGAUACUCUCGUGCUUGAGCACUGUAGAGGCAGGUGGAAGUCCGGGUGUAGCGGUGGAAUGCGUAGAGAUCCGGAAGAACACCGGUGGCGAAGGCGGCCUGCUGGGCAGUAGCUGACGCUGAGGCGCGACAGCGUGGGGAGCAAACAGG